GCAAACUUGGUCAUUUAGAGGAAGUAAAAGUCGUAACAAGGUUUCCGUAGGUGAACCUGCGGAAGGAUCAUUAUCGUAUCACAGGAGACGCUAGGGGCUGUCGCUGACGCAAGUUGUGCACGCCUUUAGUGUUCUCUCAAUACAUCCACAUCACCCCUGUGCAUCAUCGCGUGGGUCGUCGAACGCCUGACGGUGUUGACGGCUUGCGUCUUUAUACAAACCCCUUUAAAUGUAUUAGAAUGUCUACUUUGCGAUAUAACGCAAUCAAUACAACUUUCAACAACGGAUCUCUUGGCUCUCGCAUCGAUGAAGAACGCAGC
Molecule: unclassified non-coding RNA, 320 nt
Filed under: uncultured fungus
Lineage: Eukaryota; Fungi
Description: partial contains small subunit ribosomal RNA, internal transcribed spacer 1, and 5.8S ribosomal RNA
Rfam family: Eukaryotic small subunit ribosomal RNA (bases 1-73)
Source: RNAcentral